GCUCCAUGCAGGGAGCCCCACGCGGGACUCGACCCCGGGACCCCGUGGUCACGCCCUGAGCGGAAGGUACACGCUCAACAACUGAGCCACCCAGGGGUCCUUGGAUCAAAUUUUCUUUCUGAAUUCCCAGCACAGCCUCUGUAAAACUGGGAAGGAGCUAAGGAAGUCCGCUGUUUUUGGACUCUCCUCUCUGCACCCUUCAUUUCGUUCACAGCCACCCUUCCUCCCGCUGACAUCUGGAGGCCCUUACUCCACAAUGCAAGGAUCCUGAGGAAGCUCAUAAAAACCCCUUAUCCUAAGAAGUUAGGAGUGUGAUUUCCUUCCUCCUGGAGGUUCUUACACACAGUGGAGAGGAGAGAGAGCUCAGCUUUGGAGUUGGAAGGUCCUGACUGUCCAGGUUGCCACAGGCAAUUGAUAUAAUUUUCUUGAGACUCUGUUUCUUCAUCAACAAAAUGAGAACGGUAAUAAUUGUUAUCCUCCAGGCUUGAUGUAAAAAUUGAAUGAGACUGAGAGUGGUCAUAAUGCUUUGUGAUCUGAAAAGUGUUGUGAUUAUUUAUUAGUCUUUUCCUUGGGUUGUAAAUAAAGACCAACUGAGCAAGCCUGAGGAAGGGAUAUUGGGUUUGACUAAUGAGGCCUCAGAUAAGGCAAGAUUGAGGGGUUGUGGGAAAUGAAGAGAGUCUCUCUCUCCCUUUUAACAGAUCCUUCCAGUGCUGACCAAUAUCUGGUUCUGCUCUCCUUCAGAGACAGGAAGUGAAGUUCUGUUUCCUAGCCCUCCUGGCAUCUCGAUUGAACUACCUGAGUUCUGCCCAAUGGAUCAUGGAGAGAAGCGAUAUACCCCUCUUGUAGACCUGGUUACAAAAUGUCCCGUGUGAUUCUUCUGUUCUCUCUCUUCAUGACUGGGAUGGGAUGGGAUGAUGCCAGGGGGAUCUUGAAACUACCAGAUUGUGGAGACACUACAUGGAAUGAAAGAGCCUGGGUCCUGGAAUCACCACCUGGAGAGAGCUGUGCCAGAGAGCUGCAAACCAACAGCACUAACAGUGGACUUUGUGUGAGCAAGAAAUAAACUUUCAUUGUGUUUAUUUAGCCACAGAGAUUUGGGACAGUUUCUUAUAGUAGUCUUCCCUACUACACCAUACCUUGAGCUUGCUUCCCCCUAUCACCCCCCCACCCCCCAUCAUCUGUCUCUCUUGUUGUGUACCAGCUUUCUCUGCUUUCUUAUUCAUGAGGGAAAUUGGCCACCAGCAAUAGCAACCAAGGUGACCUCUCUUCCAUUCAAGAGAACAGCUUGUUGGCAACUAAAAACAUUUAUUUCAUGUUUCAAAUUCCUUUGAGAGAACUGGGUUAAGUCCAGCUCAAAACAGGUGUCAAUCUCUGAACCAUCAAUCUAGGAUAUCUGUGGGAUAAGGAGGGGUAAUUUCCAGAAAAGUGGUGCUUGGCAGCCACUCAAAUCAUGUUUACCCAGUGCCCCAUACUUGCUGUUAAUGUGUUUGGUGGUUUUUUAAAAAAGAUUUUUAUUUAUUUAUUUAUUUAUUUAUUUAUUUAUUUAUUUAUUUAUUUUAGUAAGCAGGAGAUAAUAUCCAACAGACUCUGCGCUGAGCACAGAGCCUGACAGGGCUCGAUCCCAGAACCUUGAGAUCAUGACCUGAGCUGAAACUGAGCCACCCAGGUGCCCCACUGUUAACCUUUUUGAAAAGCAACAUGGGCAGAGCAGAGACAAACUCUUUUUCUUAUAUACUUCCAAAGAAUGAAUCUCUAAGGAUUUGUUUGGCUUCUCAGUCAUCAGGUAACUAAUUUACUUAUUGGGGCUGGGUAGCCUUUCCGAGCUGCCCUCAAACUAUGCAAUGUGACAAUAUCGCCCUUCCAGAGUGGUGAGGCUGCAGUGUUCUGGCCUGUGGGCUACACCAGACAUGCAGGCCAUGAGAACAUCUGCAGUAGGUGAAGGGUGGGAAUCAUUUUCUUGUGCAUUGGACUUCAAGCGUGACGCAGGAAGUCCACAAAGUGAUCUCAGGAUGGUGCUGCAAUGUAUAGUAGAAAAAAUAGAAGUUUGAUUCUCCCAAAAGCAUACAACAAAUAUCACAAAACAAAAAAGUAGCACAGAAAUGUCUGCUUUUCCAUGGAAAUAAUUUUCUAUAUCAUUGUCAGAUCCCACUGCCUAAAAGAUAAAAGUCAAGAUUCAAAGCUUGCUUUGCAAGGCCCUUUGGGAGAGGCUCUCCCCAGUGUGAUCUCCCACUGGGUCCUAUCACAUGCUCCAUCCACAGCCUCUAAGCGGGUUAAACUAUGAGUAUUUCCCUGAAAAGGCCAUGUUCCCCAAAGGCUCAGUUUUCAGGCUCUGCUCCGCUUCUCCCUCUGCUUGAAAUAUCCUUUCUCCCUUAUGAGCAAAGAAUCCUGGCUGAUAUCAGAACUCAGCUCCAGCACACCUUUCAGGACUAGCACACUUAGAAUUACAGUUAGGCUGUGUCUUCUUUGUGCUCUGUUACAACACCUACCGAUGCUUUUUUUUUUUUUUAAUAUCUUUUUCCCUCUAAUUGCAAUAAUCAAAAAAACCCUAACAUUGCGAACUUUGGAAAAUAAACACCAAAAAAGAAAAAGAAAAGAAAAAUCUCCCAUCAUCUCACCCUCCAGGAGUUUUAUGAGAUUGAAUUUGCAGUUGGGAGAAAUUCUCAUGGUCUCUUAAGACUGGACUUACAGAACUCUGGACAGCAAUAGCAAGAAGUAUCAGUCUAUUGCUGAAGAACUAAUAUGACAUGAGAGCAAUCGAUGACAAGCUGAUGAGAAUUAUGAAGUGAAUUACCAAGUGUUAAGUGUUAAAAUCCAUUGGCACUCAGAUGUGGAAGAGAUUUUAGAAACACAUCGCCAGGAAAAAAGCCAUACAGUUCUGCAACCAUUGUCCUCUCCCUGCCUCGCCCAGAGGAUGUGCCUCCUAGGAAGAAUGUUUUGAGGGAAGGCAACCCUUGCUCUCCAUGUGCUGUCAAGAUGAACUGCAACCUUCCGGGAGAGAUCCAUGGGCUCUAAAUUGAAGCUAAGCUGCCACUGUUGGGUGAAUAUUUCCAGGGAACCUGGCCAAGCUGAAGGGAGCAAAGUAUCAAUAGAGCAGUAAUUAGGUCUUAGGACUUUGGGAUAAGACUGACUUAUAUUUGAAUCCUAGCUUUGCCACUUAGCUAGUUAUACCUACUUCAUAAGAUUGUGCAAGAAUUGAAAAAAGCUAAAUAAGAUGAUAUGUAUAAAGAAUGGCCCCAAUUCCUGGAAGUAAAUGUUCAAUAAUUAUUAGCUUAAAAAAUUAAAAUUAGUCCUUGUUGAGGGAAAUUGGAUCAAUCAAACUGGGUCUUGGUGAAUAUGUUAUUUUACAUAAAAACAUGUGUUGUUUUGCAUUCUGUUUAUUCUUACUGUAAAGUUGUGUCUUAUUGGCUAUUUGAUUCACUGACUUCUUAAUUCAGGAACUAUUUAGGGGCAUCUGGUGAGCUCAGUGGGUAGACCGUACGACUCUUGAUUUCAGGGUCAUAGUUUGACCCCCACAUUGGGCAUGGAGAACUAAAAAAUAAUAAAGUAAAAGAACUAUUUAUUGAGCAUCUAUUAUGUGUCAGAUUUCUUUGUAGAUGUUGGAAACACAGCAGCAAACAAGAUGCAAAUGUCCUUGCUCUUAUGGAUAUGCAUGUUAAUGAGGAGAGACCGAAAGUGAAAGAAACAAGUAGGAAGCAAUUAAUAACAAACAAGAAAAUUUACUGAUAGUGAUAAAUGCUAAGGAAAAGAUGAAACAAGGUGAUGUGAUAGAGUCUGAGGGAGCAGUUCUAGAUCAGGUGUUCAGGAGAGGCCUCCCUAGAGAAGUGGCAUUUAAGGUGUCAUCUGAAUAACAAGAUGGAGCAAAGUUCUAGAUGAUGAGGAAGAUGGAGAGGGAUGUGAUUGGGUUUGGAGAUGUGGCGAGAGAAUCAACAGGAUUCAUUGAUGGGUUGGAUGGGAGGUAUGAGGAAAAGAGAGGAAUCAAACAUGACUCCUAUGGCCUUGGCUAAAUGGGGUAGUGGUGCCAUCUACAGAAAUCGAGCAGGUUGGAGAUGAUGUGGCUGAGGAUGAUGUUUAAGAAGAAUCAGAAGUCUGGAUUUGAACAAAUUGAGUUGCCUGUUGAACUCUGAAUGGAGUUUUCAAGCAAACAACCGAGUACAGGAAACCAGAGUUAAACAUUUAGGGUUUUUUUCCUUAGAUAAUAUUUAAUGGAGUGAGCUGGAGGAGUGUACUUAGGGAAAUGAAUAGAGUUAGAAAAGAGAAGAGGUUGUAGGAGUAUUCUUAAAAUGUCAGGUACUUAUGACUCAUAACAAAACUUUAGAAUAAUAAUAUAUAACUCUUGUAGAAUUAUCCACAUAAAAAUGAACUGAAAGGACUUUUUGACUUUCUUACAUUCUUUAAUAUAUAUAAAUGGGGACCAAAAAGAAGUCUGAUUGUAAUACACUGGUCUUAUAAGUAUUCAUUUGACCCAUAUUUUUGAGUGCCUAUUGCAGGCACCAUUUUAUGUACUAUGUAUAAAAUGAAAUCAAAAGAACUAGUUAUGUUGUUGGCCAAACAUAUUUACUGAACACAUGCUGUGUUCAUAGUACUAGAUGAUUUGAUAGAGACCACAAAAAUGGAAAAUCAGUUCUCUGUUCCCAAGAGAAGACAGUCUAAAGCUGCCACUCAAGAGGAGAACCUCUCAAAAGUCAUGAGGAAAGUGUGUUUCCUUUUCCUUCUGCCUAUCUGAUGUUCUUAGGCCAUUGUCUAUUGGGAGAUCUAUGUGGGCCAAAUGAAUUUGGUGAAGUAGGCUAUUGUCUAAAACUCAUUUUGUCAUUGGGAGAACUUCCAUGGGCAGACAGAAGCUCAUUUCAGUCCAUUUCAUACUUGUAGUUGACUGGUACUCCAAGCAUCCCCAGCAUUCAAAUCCUCAUUAUCCAGGGAGAAGAGACAUAAAGAAUCCAUCUAAUGGCGGAUUUCUUUCCCCUGUUAAAUUAAACACAGUCUCCUUGAAGAACAGCUCUAAUGCUUCAAUAUUAAUAUCCACUAUUUGUUCAAAAUUCUAUACUUCCUGUAUAGUUAGUGGAUGAGUUGGAAGUAUGCCCACUUAUCAGUGCAAAUGGGAAGGAAGAGAAGUACCUCUUCUGGGCUAAUGGUUAAAUUUGCCUUAAGAUGCAACUGAAUGUUUUGGCAGAUUGUUGUCAGAAAGAACAGCCUGACAUCAAUUAUGUGGAAAUGAAAAUCAUUAUAUCUAGUAGUCAUUGUCUAAUUUUUAAAUGGACUUUAUGAGGUAAACCCAGUUAAAAGCUUAGUUCAUUCAAAUACUUGGUACCUUUACUGAUAAAUCAUCCUGGCAGAUGAUGAUUGAAGUUCUGCUUGGAAAGAAACACUCUGUAAGAUCCAUGUGAAGGUUUUCUUUUCUUUUUUCUUUUUUUUUUUUUUUUUUGGUGGUCAGUGUGGCCAAUUGGUAAUGGAAAUACUUAGGGUUUUGAGGGGGAAGCGGGGUCAAAUAAUUUCUUGGUGCUUUAUGAUGUCAAAUUCUGUUGUCUCAGCCAAACACUUGGCUAUAUGCUUAAACAGUUUAAAAUGUGUGGUGGUAUUGUUCCUUGAGAAACACCUUGACCCUUUUCCUUGAGGCCAGCAUAGUUUGCUUCUAUGUCAUUUUCCUUGAACAAGAAUAGAAGGUUGGUUACUAAAUUGUUCAUCAUGGAAUGUUUAACUUAACAUUUAACUUAACAUUAACAUAAGUUAAUCACUUAUGUCUGCUAUCCAAAGUGUAUGGAUUUCUCUUCCAUCAAUGGUACAUGAUGUGAGCCCAGUAGAUACUCAGCAGAGAACGUAGCUAUUAAGUUUUGCCAUUCAGAAGACUUAGAUUUGGUUGUUAGCUAGUACUUGACAGUCUAAAUGGCAUUCAUUAUUCAUGUACUAGUUUCUUUAAGUCAUUGCAUUUAGUUAUAUCACCAGAAAGGCAGACCUAGAUGUAUUAUCUUCUGCUUUAUGUUGGGUAAUACCAGGAAGGUACAUUUGAACAACAUUUUGGUAUCUUGUACAAAAUAACACAGGGAAAUCAUGGUAUUAAUUGAUCUAAUGUUCCUUAUAUAAAGAAUCAGAUGAUAAAUUCCUGCUUGCAACCAGCAUUGGAGAAAUGUUAGUCUUUUUAGAUUACAGUGUAUUUUCUGAGAUGGGAACUGCACACUACAAAUGGUUUUUUCUUUUUAUCAUGAAUAUUAUGAAACUCAGAACUUAUUUUAGCAUGCCCUAAUAUCUUUAGGUAUCCUAUUACCUUAAAGUCUUACUGGCUUCUUAUCCAUAUUUUAAAUGUGUACAGUACAGUUUUAUAACUACUUUAAGUUUUUGAAGAAAACUAAGAGAGUUCACCUCCUUUAAGAGGCUUUCUCUGGAGAAUCAGUUGAAAUCAACUCUCCUCCUCUAGCUCCCUGACCAGUUUUUCUUAUCAAAGCACUCUUCACCAUUGUAAUUGUAAUGUACAAUAUACUGUUGUACAAUUGUAUUAUCAUAUUGCAUUAUUGUAUAAUUAUAAUUAUGUUGUAUUAUUGUAUAAUACAAUAAAUACAAUGAUUAUUUUUGUUUGUUUGUUUCCUCUAGACUCUAAGGUUCAUUAAGACAGAGAUCAUAUCUCUUUCAGUAUGUUAGCCCUAGCCAGUCCUAGCACACAGUAAGUGGGUUCAAUAAAAACUUGUCAAAUUCUGAAUAAAUUGUAG
Long non-coding RNA from Canis lupus familiaris (dog), 6695 nucleotides. RefSeq lists it as uncharacterized. The record is from RefSeq and is a predicted model, not a curated record. Lineage: Eukaryota; Metazoa; Chordata; Mammalia; Carnivora; Canidae. The transcript is spliced from 4 exons.